This 377-nucleotide ribosomal RNA is filed under the name uncultured bacterium. RNAcentral describes it as "bacterial SSU rRNA". It matches the Rfam family "Bacterial small subunit ribosomal RNA", at positions 521 to 896 of the family's 1533-position model. The record is from RNAcentral.
UAAUACGUGGGGUGCAAGCGUUGUUCGGAAUUACUGGGCGUAAAGCGCGUGUAGGCGGCGCACUAAGUUCGAUGUGAAAGCCCUGGGCUUAACCCAGGAACUGCAUUGAAAACUGGUGGGCUUGAGUCCGGGAGAGGGUCGCGGAAUUCCUGGUGUAGAGGUGAAAUUCGUAGAUAUCAGGAGGAACACCGGUGGCGAAGGCGGCGACCUGGACCGGUACUGACGCUGAGACGCGAAAGCGUGGGGAGCAAACAGGAUUAGAUACCCUGGUAGUCCACGCUGUAAACGAUGAGCGCUAGUUGUCGCGGGUAUUGACCCCCGCGGUGACGCAGGUAACCCAUUAAGCGCUCCGCCUGGGGAGUACGGCCGCAAGGCUA